UCAGAGAAAGGGGCCAGGUGGGGAAAGAGGAUGGUUAGUUUACAUGUAAGACCCUGCGUCUGUGUGAAGCAGAACUAACAUCAACUUUGCAUAUGGCUAUCAUACUUUGCAUAUCAACUACCAAAUGCCUCUCCAGGAAAAGAUUUCACAGCAAUAAAGUUCAAAGUUCAAUUGAGUGAGUCACUUGGCACUGACUUGCUUCGUUGCUUCCAUUGUGAGCUAGCAAGGUUCUGUUUCUCGUGCUUAGCUAGUAAACCUAUUUAGUUGUGCUCAGUUCUUAACUGACAAGAAAUCUCAAGUAUGCUCUUGCGCUGUUCCCGAAAGAAAUGAGUUCAGUGCAUCUGACCCAUCUGACUACACAAUAGGGUUGACCUCUGCCCAGAGGUCGGAGAGCCAUCAGAGGAAAGAGGAAAGACGUAUAAUAACUUAGUACGAAGGAAAGGAGUCUAAUAACUUGGUACGAAGGAAAGGAGUCGAAUAACUUGGUACGAAGGAAAGGAGUCUAAUAACUUGGUACGAAGGAAAGGAGUCUAAUAACUUGGUACGAAGGAAAGGAGUCUAAUAACUUGGUACGAAGGAAAGGAGUCGAAUAACUUGACUUCCCAUUGGGGCUCACAGAUUACUCCAUUGCUUUAACCUGGACAAAUUACCUGGACAAUCACCACCUAACCUAUCAACGGGAUUGAGGGGCAAAGAGGAGGGGUAUAAGAAGAGGAAGCUGUAGAAUUACUGGGUGCCCGGUGGGGACCGCGAA
This is a long non-coding RNA of Clupea harengus (Atlantic herring), 754 nucleotides long. RefSeq lists it as uncharacterized. NCBI's taxonomy places the organism in Eukaryota, Metazoa, Chordata, Actinopteri, Clupeiformes, Clupeidae. The record is from RefSeq and is a predicted model, not a curated record.